RNAcentral lists this ribosomal RNA (117 nucleotides) under Micropterus dolomieu (smallmouth bass). RNAcentral's name for it is "partial 16S ribosomal RNA". Lineage: Eukaryota; Metazoa; Chordata; Actinopteri; Centrarchiformes; Centrarchidae. The record is from RNAcentral.
CGCCCAACAGCUAGCCCCCCCCCAACCAAAAACAAUUUAUCACCAUUAAUAACCCCUAACACACUAGUGUUAAACUAAACAAAACAUUUUUCCACCUCAGUACGGGCGACGGAAGAG